GCCAGGCGCAAUAGUGCAUGCCUGUAGUCCCAGCUACUUGGGAGGCUGAGGCUGAAGGAUCACUUCAGUCCAGGAGUUCUGGGCUAUAGUAGUGUGCUAUGACGUUAAGUUGUCCACACUAAGUUCGGCAUCAAUUUGGUGACCUCCAAGGAGCAGGGGACCACCAGGUUACCUAAGGAGGGGUGAACUAGCCCAGGCUGGAAAUGGAGCAGGUCAAAACUUCCAUGCUGAUCAGUAGUGGGAUUGCACCAAUGAAUGGCACUGGACUCCAGCCUGGGCAACAGAGCAAGACCCUUCUCU
Molecule: signal recognition particle RNA, 300 nt
Filed under: Saimiri boliviensis boliviensis (Bolivian squirrel monkey)
Lineage: Eukaryota; Metazoa; Chordata; Mammalia; Primates; Cebidae
Description: Metazoan signal recognition particle RNA (ENSSBOG00000002245.1)
Rfam family: Metazoan signal recognition particle RNA
About the family: The signal recognition particle (SRP) is a universally conserved ribonucleoprotein. It is involved in the co-translational targeting of proteins to membranes. The eukaryotic SRP consists of a 300-nucleotide 7S RNA and six proteins: SRPs 72, 68, 54, 19, 14, and 9.
Source: RNAcentral